CUGACAAGCUCACCCAUGAGUUUUCAUUCGAACCAGAAUUCAACAUGAGAGAAUUUCUAGUCAAAUGUUUCCUGCUUCAGUGUUGCAUUGGACUGUGCACAAUGUUAAUUGUUACACAAACUCCUACCAACCUUUUGUUAGUCAAUGGAGCAACCAUGAACAUCACCUGCAGUCACCAUGACAAAAGCUAUGACAAAAUCUUCUGGUACCAGCAGUCCAACGGGCAAAAUCUCGAGCACCUUGGCUUCCUUUCCUUCAGGCAACCCUUGGCUGACAGAAAGGAUUUCACAAUAACAGGAGAUGCGGAGAAAGAGGCGUACUUGGUGGUGUCGCCUGUGAAAGCUGAGCACAGUGCUGUGUACUUCUGUGCAGUGAGUAAAGCACAGUGCUUUAAGUUUAUAGGAGCCUGUGCUCAAAACCCCACCCCUGUCACAUGACACAUCUGCACCUGAGUCGACAGCCCAGUCAAAUGAGGUGAACACGGUCUUGAGAUACAUGAUAGUUAUACACUUCUGACUGCAGAAGAAGCAAAUAUUUAGAGAGGCAUCUGCAGCAUUGUGAAUUUAAUGUUAUUUAUUGUUUUGAAUGUUGUAAUCAUGAUCAGAGCAAUCAUUUUAACCACAAUCAUUACUUUUUAUUUGUUCAUAGUUUGUGUGGUUUGUUCUCCUGUCAUUCAACAGUCUCCCAAGCAUCUUCUACGAACAGUGGAGGAGAAAGAGGCAAAGCCUUCUUGUCAUCACGGUGACAGCAGCUAUCCAUAUCUGUACUGGUAUCAACAGAAAAGCAACAGCGGUUCUUUGGAGCUUAUAGGAAUGCUCAAUUUUGACACAGCUUAUCAAGAGGAAAAAUUCAAAACUCGAUUUGACAUCACAGGACAUGCUACACAAAAUGCAAACCUGCUCAUAUCCAGCAUAACUGCUGAGGACAGCGCAGUGUAUUUCUGUGCAGCAAGUGAGCACAGCCGUACAGUUCUCUAUAACCUUUGACAAAAAAUGGUUUACUUUGCACCUGUUUAUAUAUCUAUGCCAAAUCCGUUAAUAACUGUUAUUACAAAUAGAGGGCACUAAUGAAAUGUAAUAUUUCAGCACAUUCGGGGUUUAAUGGAGAACAGCAGCAUAAUGAU
This is a long non-coding RNA of Carassius gibelio (silver crucian carp), 1123 nucleotides long. RefSeq lists it as uncharacterized. The record is from RefSeq and is a predicted model, not a curated record. NCBI's taxonomy places the organism in Eukaryota, Metazoa, Chordata, Actinopteri, Cypriniformes, Cyprinidae. The transcript is spliced from 3 exons.